Molecule: long non-coding RNA, 2257 nt
Filed under: Populus trichocarpa (black cottonwood)
Lineage: Eukaryota; Viridiplantae; Streptophyta; Magnoliopsida; Malpighiales; Salicaceae
Description: long non-coding RNA (PTRI_LNC001256)
Source: RNAcentral
UUUUCAAAGUUAAAAUCAGUAAAAUGUAAUUUUUUCAUAAAUACUAUGUUCGCUGUAUGAAUAAACUGUAUUGAAAUUGAUUAAAGUUGCAUGUUUAGUAUUGAUACAUGGAAGAUAAUUGGAAAAGAAAGAAAAAGAAACAAAGAAAACACCUUAAACUUCUAGCAUGGAUUACAAGGUACUACAGAGAAUCUGUCCGUGCAGAGGUUUUUCUGCAACGGGUUUGCAUUGCAUGACAGAACAAAACUGAAAACUGGCAGAGUGGCAGUGAACAGAAACAAAGUGAGAAUCAAGAGCUGCUGGUAGAAGAGAAGGAGGCGGUGUCGUUUAGUGGUAUUUUGCAAACAAAACAAAACAAAACACAGACCCAGCGUGGGGUUGCAGAGACAGUGCGCCCCACGAGCCACGCCGUCCAGUGAAGACCCAGAUGUCUCCAGUCAACCAGGCAACAAGUGCCUCUCCAGCCGAGCACCACUGCACGUGCGCUAUCUCCCUCUCUCGCACGUGCGCUAUCUCUUUACUGUAGUUAUGAAUAAUAUUGGAGGAUUUUUGUUGUUACAGGUACGGAAUUCCAACUAUCCAAUGGUUUCAUGUUCGUGUGACUGCCCACUCUCUAUUUCACUUGUUUUUGGUUUCCAUGCUGCCUCUCCCUGUGGCCUGACAAAGUACGUACCCUGCUUGGGUAUUCUAAUCAGGCUAUUUGGAGUUUUCUUUUUUGAGAAUUUUGAAAGAAAAAAAUUUAAAAGUGUUUUUGUUUUUAGUAAUAUAUUAAAAUAAUAUUUUUUUAUUUUUUAAAAAUUCUUUUUUAUAUUAGCAUAUCAAAAUAAUCUGAAAAUAUUAAUUUAAAGUAAAAAAAUAAAAAAAAUUAAUUUUUUAGAAAAGUUUUUAUAACACAAACCUCUUGUUAUCAAGAAUAAAUUAUUUAUCCUUGAAUAUCUCUCAACAAGAUAAUUAUAAGCUCUAGAUUUGAAAGAGGAAGUAAAGCAUAAAAAAAAAUACUAGAAAUAAGGUAAUGAAUGCUGGUAUAUAAAUAUUUGAAAAAUAUUGUCUCAAAGUCUUCCUUUAUUUUUUUUAUAAUAAAUUUUGAAAGUUAAAAUAUUAAGAAAUUAAUUAUAAUAAUAAUUAAAAUUAAUUUUUAUUAUUAUCAAGUUUUAAUUAACUAUCAUAUACAAAUAAAAAAUUAGACUCAGCUAGAAGAAACAAAACACGGAGGGGGAAUCUCGAUGAAAUUGAAUAUAUCAUUAGGCUUCUUUUUAUUUAUUUUUUUUAUCAUGUCCCAAUUGUUAUAUCAUAUUUAUUAAUUAGUGGAUAAUUACACUGACACUUCUAACCUUUUUCAAAGCAACUUCAAAGGUUGAACGUGACCCACCACCUCUACAUUAACCCAGGGCAGGCUUCAGAAUUGGGGGGCUCUGUUACAGGUUUCCCGCCAAAAUUGGUACAUCUACCGGCUACCGGCUACAAUUAGCCUAAAACGUUUUGGAACUGUGCAAACCGUAUUAUUUUAAAAUUUAAUUUUUUUUUUAAUUAAUUGUAGCUGGUAGCUGCGGUGCUGUCAGCUACAAUUUACUUGCUAUCCUCGUGGUAUGUUUUAGAUUGUUUUAAUACAUUAAUUUUAAAAUAAUUUUUAAAAAAUAAAAAAAUAUCAUUUAAAUACAUUUCGGCAUGAAAAAUACUUUAAAAAGCAACCGUAAUUACACUUCCAAACAUGCUUGUUCAAUAAAAAAGAAAAAAGAAAAAAAGAAGCCUAAUGAGUGAGUCUCAGUUUCUUAACUUCUAAGGGUCUGUUUGUUUCUGCGUUUCAAAAGUGCUUUUGACAAAAUUUGAAAAUUUUUUAUUUUUUUAUUAACUUCAAAUUAAUAUGUUUUUAGUGUUUUCAAAUCAUUUUGAUGUGCUGAUGUCAAAAAUAAUUUUUAAAAAAUAAAAAAAAUCAUUAAUAUGUAUUUUAACACGAAAAGCUAUUUGAAAAGUAACCGCAACCACACUGCCAAACAAACCCUAACUCAACCAAAUCCCCGAGUUUGUCUGUGCAAAUAUAUAAAGAUAUACACGAUAAGAUUCACUAUAUAUUAGUAUAAUUAUAGACGAAUUUAUUAUCUUGAUGCUGUCUUUACGUGUUCUGAUCGAGAUUCUUGUGUUUGUAAUUUCAGGAAUUCUGCCCUCGUUUAUCACUUGUUCUUUUUAAAACGGGUGGCGCACAUCAUCGGUAAAAAAGAAAUUAUGUUCUUAGAUACCAUUUGUUUGCUUUUGCCUUUCU